UAAGCGGAGGAAAAGAAACCAACAGGGAUUGCCUCAGUAGCGGCGAGUGAAGCGGCAAAAGCUCAAAUUUGAAAUCUGGCGUCUUUGGCGUCCGAGUUGUAAUUUGAAGAAGGUAUCUUUGGGCCCGGCUCUUGUCUAUGUUCCUUGGAACAGGACGUCACAGAGGGUGAGAAUCCCGUGCGAUGAGAUGACCCGGGUCUGUGUAAAGUUCCUUCGACGAGUCGAGUUGUUUGGGAAUGCAGCUCUAAGUGGGUGGUAAAUUCCAUCUAAAGCUAAAUAUUGGCGAGAGACCGAUAGCGAACAAGUACAGUGAUGGAAAGAUGAAAAGAACUUUGAAAAGAGAGUGAAAAAGUACGUGAAAUUGUUGAAAGGGAAGGGCUUGAGAUCAGACUUGGUAUUUUGCAUGUUGCUCUCUCGGGGGCGGCCGCUGCGGUUUACCGGGCCAGCAUCGGUUUGGAGCGGCAGGAUAAUGGCGGAGGAAUGUGGCACGGCUUCUGCUGUGUGUUAUAGCCUCUGACGAUACUGCCAGCCUAGACCGAGGACUGCGGUUUUUAACCUAGGAUGUUGGCAUAAUGAUCUUAAGUCGCCCGUCUUG
This 595-nucleotide ribosomal RNA is filed under the name Candida albicans. RNAcentral's name for it is "eukaryotic LSU rRNA". It matches the Rfam family "Eukaryotic large subunit ribosomal RNA", at positions 47 to 656 of the family's 3401-position model. The record is from RNAcentral. Lineage: Eukaryota; Fungi; Ascomycota; Pichiomycetes; Serinales; Debaryomycetaceae.